UGUUUCACAAUACCGAAAGUAGGGUAUUUGUAAACACCACAGAUCAAUCGUCGGUUAGCGACAUGUCUGGACGUGGAAAGACUCCGGAUGUAUCAGACAUUCAUCUUGUACUCACAGUCGCACGUCAACGUCACUGUACCAGGAGGGGUGAAGAUCAGCUGUUCCUGUAGCACGUCAAGGUCAAUCCCAGAGUGUAACACUUCAUCAGACAGUCUCACGUCAACGUCACUGUACCAGGAGGGGUGAAC
Molecule: unclassified non-coding RNA, 248 nt
Filed under: Haliotis rubra (blacklip abalone)
Lineage: Eukaryota; Metazoa; Mollusca; Gastropoda; Lepetellida; Haliotidae
Description: palmitoyltransferase AKR1-like, transcript variant X3
Source: RNAcentral